CUUUAAAAAAAUGAGUGGAAUUAAAAAAUAAUACAUGUUUUAAAAGUUUUGAAAUUGAAUUAAAUAGUGCUGUUUGGACCCGCGGAGGGGGCAGGAGAGGUGGGGGGGAGUGACGCAGCCGUUAAAAAUCAUCUCGCCGCAGUCCCGGCUUUAGCAGACAUUUUAACAUUUUGUGUCGUUUAUUUCUGAUAUUUUCCCCCCCUCGAGUUCGGCGGCUCCAAACCGAGCAGCGUGACGGUGCAGUGUGCCGACUGCACUCCAGGGCUGGUUGUGUAACCGUUUCACCUCGGCUGAACCCAUCUGGUUUCGACGGCGGCGGCAGGCUGCAGCUUGCGUGUCCCCGAUGAACUGAGACAGAUGGCCGGCGGAGGAGUCGCGGAGACCCGGGGUAGCGCAGCAGCAGCUCUCCGCUGCCCACCGGAAAACCUCGCUCGGGAGAGACAACAGAGUUCAUCUCCUCUCCUAAAAAAGAAAAAAAAAUCGCUUUUUAUUUAUUUAUUUUUUAAAAAACGGUCUUUCCUCCUCGGGUUGGGUGAAAUAGCAGCCGCUGUAGGAAAGAGGAAGCCCGCGGACUGGGACGCCACGACGGAAGAACUUCAACUUGAACUUGAGACUCUCCGAUGAUGAUCUGGACGCUGCGUAGAGGCUCUGGAAAGCAGUUUCCAAUGCGGGGACAGAGCCAAGAAAAGUACAAAGGAAGGCUAAUUAUUUGGGAAUGACUUCACUUUUCCUGCUCAGACGUCAACAUUAAGUUCCCGCAGGUCAAAGGUCGUAUGUGCAGCAGAUAAACUGUCCUUUGGGGUGAGGUAGUAGGUUGUAUAGUUUUAGGGUCAUUCCCAAGCUGUCAGAUGACUAUACAACUUACUGUCUUUCCUGAAGAGACAGUGAAGGCAACAUCAUCAUCAUCGGCUCCACUAAAAGAAGAAGUGACUCCAUGUUUUUAGUUUUAAUGUCUGGCAGUGAAAUAAUUAAUGGGAAUAUAAUUUUCUGCAUGUUAUCCAGUAAAUAAUCAUCACCGUUUGUUGAUAAAUGACCGUUUGAAGAUGUGCUUGAGACCCUACGUCUUCUGUGGUGACUCAUGGUGUUCGUACAGGGUGAGGUAGUAGGUUGUGUGGUUUCAGGGUUGUGAUUUUACCCCAUCAGGAGCUAACUAUACAACCUACUGCCUUCCCUGGAGGGCAGCAAUACGUCACAGGAGCAAACGACCUCAUUUUGCACAGGAGAAACCCGGACAGCUUCUUAUAAAAACACUGACAAGUGGCUGGUUUUACUAAAUGGGUAGGCUCUGCAUUGUUGUUGUUGUUUUUUUAAAUAUUUUUUUUAGCAAUUUUUUACUAUAAAAAUACAAGAUAAGGAUGUAAUUGUGUCUAUUUGUGUUUUUAUUCUAAAAGAAAAUAAAGACUGAAAAUUUCAAACA
This is a long non-coding RNA of Austrofundulus limnaeus, 1417 nucleotides long. RefSeq lists it as uncharacterized. NCBI's taxonomy places the organism in Eukaryota, Metazoa, Chordata, Actinopteri, Cyprinodontiformes, Rivulidae. The record is from RefSeq and is a predicted model, not a curated record. The transcript is spliced from 5 exons.